Molecule: ribosomal RNA, 430 nt
Filed under: Trogoderma sp. 3 MJB-2021a
Lineage: Eukaryota; Metazoa; Arthropoda; Insecta; Coleoptera; Dermestidae
Description: partial large subunit ribosomal RNA
Source: RNAcentral
GUCCUUUUGUUUUUUUUUAAGGUCUGAUCUGCUCACUGAGGUUUUAAAGAGCCGCGGUAUUUUGACCGUGCGAAGGUAGCAUAAUCAUUAGUUUUUUAAUUGGAAACUAGUAUGAAUGGUUGGACGAGAAAAAUACUGUCUCUCUUUGAUUUGUUUGAAUUUUACUUUUAAGUUAAAAGGCUUAAAUUUUUUUGAAAGACGAGAAGACCCUAUAGAGUUUUAUUAAUUUUAUUUUAUUUUAUUUUGGAAAUUUUAUUUUUAGAAUUUAUAUUAAUUUUGUUGGGGUGACUAUAAAAUUAGUUAAACUUUUAUUUUAUAAAAACAUUUAUUUAUGAUUAUUUGAUCCAUUUUUAGUGAUUAAAAGAUAAAUUACCUUAGGGAUAACAGCGUAAUUUUCUUUGAGAGUUCUAAUCGAAAAGAAAGUUUGCGA